GAUGAACGCUGGCGGCGUGCCUAAUACAUGCAAGUCGAGCGAACAGACGAGGAGCUUGCUCCUCUGACGUUAGCGGCGGACGGGUGAGUAACACGUGGAUAACCUACCUAUAAGACUGGGAUAACUUCGGGAAACCGGAGCUAAUACCGGAUAAUAUAUUGAACCGCAUGGUUCAAUAGUGAAAGACGGUUUUGCUGUCACUUAUAGAUGGAUCCGCGCCGCAUUAGCUAGUUGGUAAGGUAACGGCUUAACAAGGCAACGAUGCGUAGCCGACCUGAGAGGGGGAUCGGCCACACGGGAACAGAGAAACGGUCCAGAGUCCGAAGGGAGGCAGCAGUAGGGAAUCUUCCGCAAUGGGCGAAAGCCUGACGGAGCAACGCCGGGUGAGUGAUGAAGGUCUUCGGAUCGGAAAACGCUGUUAGUAGGGAAGAACAAAUGUGUAAGUAACUAUGCACGUCUUGACGGUACCUAAUCAGAAAGCCACGGCUAACUACGUG
This 497-nucleotide ribosomal RNA is filed under the name uncultured bacterium. RNAcentral describes it as "partial 16S ribosomal RNA". It matches the Rfam family "Bacterial small subunit ribosomal RNA", at positions 28 to 507 of the family's 1533-position model. The record is from RNAcentral.